RNAcentral lists this transfer RNA (74 nucleotides) under Hypoxylon rubiginosum. Its description in RNAcentral is "tRNA-Ile". It matches the Rfam family "tRNA". Rfam says of the family: Transfer RNA (tRNA) molecules are approximately 80 nucleotides in length. Their secondary structure includes four short double-helical elements and three loops (D, anti-codon, and T loops). Further hydrogen bonds mediate the characteristic L-shaped molecular structure. tRNAs have two regions of fundamental functional importance: the anti-codon, which is responsible for specific mRNA codon recognition, and the 3' end, to which the tRNAs corresponding amino acid is attached (by aminoacyl-tRNA synthetases). tRNAs cope with the degeneracy of the genetic code in two manners: having more than one tRNA (with a specific anti-codon) for a particular amino acid; and 'wobble' base-pairing, i.e. permitting non-standard base-pairing at the 3rd anti-codon position. Lineage: Eukaryota; Fungi; Ascomycota; Sordariomycetes; Xylariales; Hypoxylaceae. The record is from RNAcentral.
AGUCCCAUAACUCAGUUGGUCAGAGUAUCGUGCUAAUAAUGCGAACGUCGAGAGUUCGAGCCUCUCUGGGACCA